UGGUAGUGUAUUGGACAACCAUGGCUUUUACGGGUAACGGAGGAUUAGGGUUCGAUUCCGGAGAGGGAGCCUGAGAAACGGCUACCACAUCUAAGGAAGGCAGCAGGCGCGUAAAUUACCCAAUCCUGAUUCAGGGAGGUAGUGACAAGAAAUAACGGGCCGGAGCCUAUGUUCCGGGACUGCAAUGAGCCGAAUUUAAACCCCUUUGCGAGGAUCAAUUGGAGGGCAAGUCUGGUGCCAGCAGCCGCGGUAAUUCCAGCUCCAAUAGCGUAUAUUAAAGUUGUUGCAGUUAAAAAGCUCGUAGUUGGACCUCUGGGAGGGCGCCAAUGUCCGCCGUGUGCGUGCGCAGCGGGGCCCUUCCAUCCUUCUGUUAACGAUCCUCGGUAUUCGCUUACUGGUUUCGGGCUCAGAUAUUUUACCUUGAGAAAAUUAGAGUGUUUCAGGCAGGCUUGCGCCGGAAUACAUUAGCAUGGAAUAAUAGAAUAGGACUUUUGUCUCCUUUGUUGGUUUGAGGGACCGAAGUAAUGAUUAAUAGGGACAGUUGGGGGCAUUAGUAUCUAAUUGUCGGAGGUGAAAUUCUCGGAUUUGUUAAAGACUAACUUAUGCGAAAGCAUUUGCCCAAGGA
RNAcentral lists this ribosomal RNA (625 nucleotides) under uncultured marine ciliate. RNAcentral's name for it is "SSU rRNA". It matches the Rfam family "Eukaryotic small subunit ribosomal RNA", at positions 326 to 965 of the family's 1831-position model. The record is from RNAcentral. Lineage: Eukaryota; Ciliophora.